CAGCCGCCGCGGUAAUACGAAGGGGGCUAGCGUUGCUCGGAAUCACUGGGCGUAAAGGGUGCGUAGGCGGGUCUUUAAGUCAGGGGUGAAAUCCUGGAGCUCAACUCCAGAACUGCCUUUGAUACUGAAGAUCUUGAGUUCGGGAGAGGUGAGUGGAACUGCGAGUGUAGAGGUGGAAUUCGUAGAUAUUCGUAAGAACACCAGUGGCGAAGGCGGCUCACUGGCCCGAUACUGACGCUGAGGCACGAAAGCGUGGGGAGCAAACAGGAUUAGAUACCCGGGUAGUCCCUGUCUCUUAUAC
RNAcentral lists this ribosomal RNA (301 nucleotides) under uncultured bacterium. RNAcentral describes it as "partial 16S ribosomal RNA". It matches the Rfam family "Bacterial small subunit ribosomal RNA", at positions 509 to 807 of the family's 1533-position model. The record is from RNAcentral.